This 476-nucleotide ribosomal RNA is filed under the name uncultured bacterium. RNAcentral's name for it is "bacterial SSU rRNA". It matches the Rfam family "Bacterial small subunit ribosomal RNA", at positions 28 to 507 of the family's 1533-position model. The record is from RNAcentral.
GAUGAACGCUCGGCGGCGUGCCUCAAACAUGCAAGUCGAGCGGGGCUAUGUAAUAUCGCAAGGUAGAACAUAGCCUAGCGGCGAACGGGUGAGUAACACGUGGGUAACCUGCCUGGAAGACAGGGAUAACGAUUCGAAAGGGUCGCUAAUACCUGAUAAUAUCCUUUCAUCGCAUGGUGAUAGGAAGAAAGGGGAAACCCGCUUUCAGAUGGGCCCGCGUCCCAUCAGCUAGUUGGUAAGGUAAAGGCUUACCAAGGCGACGACGGGUAGCCGGUCUGAGAGGAUGUACGGCCACACUGGGACUGAGAUACGGCCCAGACUCCUACGGGAGGCAGCAGUUGGGAAUCUUAGGCAAUGGACGAAAGUCUGACCUAGCGACGCCGCGUGAGGGAAGAAGGCCUUCGGGUUGUAAACCUCUGUCAUGGGGGAAGAAGGAAGUGACGGUACCCCAAGAGGAAGCCCCUGCUAACUACGUG